GAGGAAUAUUGGUCAAUGGGUGGAAGCCUGAACCAGCCAAGUCGCGUGAAGGAAGAAGGAUCUAUGGUUUGUAAACUUCUUUUGAAGGGGGAUAAAGUGCGUCACGAGUGAUGCAUUGCAGGUACCCUUGGAAUAAGCAUCGGCUAACUCCGUGCCAGCAGCCGCGGUAAUACGGAGGAUGCGAGCGUUAUCCGGAUUUAUUGGGUUUAAAGGGUGCGUAGGUGGCUUUUUAAGUCAGCGGUGAAAACUGGCGGCUCAACCGCAAGAGUGCCGUUGAAACUGGGGAGCUAGAGUAUGAACGAGGUAGGCGGAAUGUGUGGUGUAGCGGUGAAAUGCAUAGAUAUCACGCAGAACUCCGAUAGCGAAGGCAGCUUACCAGGCCAUAACAGACACUGAAGCACGAAAGCGUGGGGAUCGAAC
This 420-nucleotide ribosomal RNA is filed under the name uncultured bacterium. RNAcentral's name for it is "bacterial SSU rRNA". It matches the Rfam family "Bacterial small subunit ribosomal RNA", at positions 356 to 773 of the family's 1533-position model. The record is from RNAcentral.